UUUCCGGUGACACUCUUCAAAGACCUCAUCAUGCAUGCUUUAUUUUCUUCACAUAAAUAUAGCAUAACAUGCAAGUUCAAGAUCACACGCAUUCAAUUCGCUUCUUAGCAACAAGACAGAGAGGAUUUUUCUUGUGUUGAAUAAGUCCGGCUUGACCAUGAGUGUCAAUGUCUUCCCUCUUAGCUCCUUCAGGCAUUUCCCAGUCAAAUGAAUAGAGAAGAUUAGAAAGUACAAGGUCGAUGGUAGCAAUAGCCAUGUUUAAGCCGGGGCAAAUUCUUCGCCCAGAACCAAACGGAAUCAGCUCAAAAUCUUGUCCUUUUAAAUCUAUAUCACUUCCUAUGAAUCUCUCUGGAUAAAACUCUUCUGGAUCCUUCCAUACUUCUGGGUCUCUAUGGAUCGCCAAUGCAUUCACGUACACCAAUGUCUUGUCUGGAAUGUCGUACCCUGCAAUGUUGCAAUUUGUCAUUGUUUCUCUUGGUAAAAGUAUAGGCAAAAUUGGGUACAAUCUCAUCGAUUCUUUUAUAACGGCCUUGAAAUAUGGAAGCUUUUCGACAUCUUCUUCCUCUAUAAAACCUUUCCCUGCACACACUUUCCGAAUCUCUUCUUGUACUUUCUGCAUCGCUCUUGGAUUCUUCAUUAGCGCAGUCAUAGCCCAGACUACCGCUGCCGCAAUUGUUUCUGUCACAGCAAACGACAUAUUCUGCAAUAUUGGACAAGUUUCAAUAUGUUUCAUGAACUAUUCUGCAAAGAUAAAAUGUUUUGAAAUUGAACCAAGAUGAAGGCUUAAUAAGAGUGAAGAAUAAAAAUAAUUAAAAAAAAACAUUAACCAUGAUCAAGGGCUUGAUGUGUUCUGCAGUGAGAUCCAUUGAGCAGUAAGGAUCAUUCUUCAGUUCAAUCAAGGCAUCAAUAACAUCAUCCUCAUGUGGAGGCAACUUCUUCCUUUCUGGAUCAAGAUGUUCAUCAACAAUACUUUGAUAAAGUUCAUCUGAAACCUUGAACGUUUUCUCAAGGCGACUCGUCUUUCCGGUGAGCUUAUCAACAAUCCCUCCAACAAAGGGCAAAUAAUCCGCGUAAAAGAACGAAAUUAGCAAAUCCUGAACUUCUUUAUGCAGACCUUGAAACAUGCUACGCUCAAUUCCUUCCCCUUCAUACCUUCUGCCGAAGGCGGUCUUACAAACUAAAGUACUUGUAAGACAAGUAAGAAGAUCCUGCAUGUUCAUAACUUUGUUGGAAGAAGCAUUUUCUGAUAUCUUCUUGAUCAUUCGUGUCACCUCAUCUUUUCUAACUGAGUAAAACAUUGAGACUCUUUUGACACUAAGAAAAUGAAUAAAGGAAAGUUUUUUUGUGUGUCUCCAAUAUUCUCUAUAUGGUGCAAAUAUUUGAUCUAAUCCAUUAUAUGAUAUUUUCAUAUGGCUGAUUAACGCGGGUCGGUUACAGAAUUCGAUAUCAUGUGUUUUCAUUACUUCUUUGGCCAUUUUUGCUGAUGAAACAACGACUGUUUGCUUUGAACCAAGUUUAAGGGAGAUUAUAGGGCCAUAUUUCUUAGAGAGUUCAUAGAAAUUUAAACCAAGAACUGAACUAUCAAGUUGGUGUAAGUUUCCAAUGAAAGGAAGGCCUUUAGGACCUGGUGGAAGAGUUGUUGAUUUCUUAGAUGUUUUGUGUUUUUUGAACAAGAAGAAUAGCAAGAGAGCAAAGGGUAAAAGAAUAAGGGGUGACAUGUUUUUGUUCAUGAAUUAGGGAUAGCUAUUCAGCUAUUGUAAUAUAUAGAUAGACACCACCAACUCUUUUUAAGGUACUUCACUUAUAGUUUUGGAUAAGAACGUUAUGUCAUAAUUUGAUCCAUGUAGCUGACUGUACUUAAGGGAUAAGGUUUGAUUGUUUUUGUCACAUUGCAUUUUGAAUACAUCAGUAUAGGACGAAUAUAGACACGAAAAGCAAACAUCAGCCGAUUAAUACUAUUUAUUAUUACCCUUAAAAUGACUAAACCACUUUUUGAAUACAUAAGUAUGGGACGAAUAUAGACACGAAAAGAAAACAUCAGUCAGUUAAUACUAUUUAUUAUUACCCUUGAAAUGAGUAAACCACUUUUUGAAUACAUCAGUAUGAGACGAAUGUAGACACGAAAAGCAAACAUCAUCCAGUUAAUAUUAGUUAUUAUUACCCUUAAAAUGACUAAACCACUUUUUGAAUACAUCAGUAUGGGACGAAUAUAGACACAAAAAGAAAACAUCAGCCAGUUAAUACUAUUUAUUAUUACCCUUGAAAUGAGUAAACCACUUUUUGAAUACAUCAGUAUGGGACGAAUAUAGACAUGAAAAACAAACAUCAGCAAGUUAAUAUUAUUUAUUAUUAUUUAUUAUUACCCUUGAAAUGACUAAACCACUUUUUGAAUACAUCAGUAUGAGACGAAUAUAGACACGAAAAGAAAACAUCAGCCAAUUAAUACUAUUUAUUAUUAUUUAUUAUUACCCUUGAAAUAAGUAAACCACUUUUUGAAUACAUCAGUAUGGGACGAAUAUAAACACGAAAAGAAAACAUCAGCCAGUUAAUACUAUUUAUUAUUAUCCUUGAAAUGACUAAACCACUUUUUGAAUACAUCAGUAUGGGACGAAUGUAAACACGAAAAGCAAACAUCAGCAAGUUAAUAAUUAUUAUUUAUUAUUUCAAGUAAACCACUUUUUGAAUACAUCAGUAUGGGACGAAUAUAGACACAAACAACAAACAUCAGCCAGUCAAUACUAUUUAUUACUCCAUCCGUUUCAAAAUGAGUGUCAUUUUAACCAAAAAAAAAUUGUAUUAAAAUGAUUGUCACUUUCAGUUUCCAAUGCAAUAAUAACAAUUGUUUCAAAAAUUGUUGUACAAAUAUCAUUUCUCUUUUUAUUAUUUGAUUCUCACACUCUAAACUAAACAAAUAUCGAGAUGUCAAUUUAUCCAAAAAUAAAUAAAUAUCGACAUGUCAAUGCUAUUUUAUUAUUUAUUAUCACACCGUAAAUCUCUGAAAACAAUAAGCUUGCACAAAACUGCAUGUCUUCGUGGAUUCAACAUUUCUUUUAAGAUGUAAAAUUAUGUAAAAGACAACGAGUUAAAAUUAUAUCAAUAUAUAUAUAUAUAUAUAUAUAUAUAUAUAUAUGGGGUUUGCUAACUUAGAACAACAAAAAAACGUGAAGGUCCAAGUUAGCAAAAAUGCACUUUUUCAUUUGAACAAAAAAACAAAUAUCCAAAUUGGUAAAUAUCCCUCAAGCUAUUUGUUAUAAAAUAAAAGUGGGUCUAAGUUAGCAAGCAAAUUGGUGUAAGUUAACAAACAUGUUUUAAUGAAAAUUACUAAAGUAACCCUCAAACUAUUUGUAAUAAAAUAAAAGUGGGUCUAAGUUAGCAAAUUGGUGCAAGUUAACAAAUAAGUUUUAAUAUAAAUUACUAAAAGAUUAUCAACUUUUUUGUUAUAACUUGCUAAAAGACACUUUAAUAAAAAUUAGUUGGUGUCUUUUAACAAAUGCCUAUAAGAUAACUUGCUAAAAUACACCUUCAUAAAGGGUGUCUUCUAUAUAUAUAUAUAUACCAAAAAAAGUUGAUUUUAUAUCAUUAUACAUUUCACCAAAUGAUAUACAUUUCAACUAACGAUAUAUAUUUAAUCUAAUCCGCCCCAAGAUCUAUGCUAACAUCAUCAAGAUUAUAGCUUUUAUCAUUUUCAAUCUUCACACCAUCUUCAACCUUCUUCUCAGCAUCAAGCUUCUUUACAAGAUCAACCAUCUGUCUGAUAUAUCUAUCAGGCCAUCUUUUUGCAUCAUCUAGAGAGUGUUGUCACCAUAGCGGGCAAAUGGGAGGAAUUGGAAAACCAUCAUUCAAAUAUAUUAUCAUAAAAUGGUUGUCAUUCACAUGUGUCAGACACAUCAAUCGACCUCUAUGUGAUGGUGCACCACAUAGAGGGAAAUAGGUUUCCAAUCACCCUUUCGCAAUAGACAGUAGAACCACCACAUGUUUGUAUCUCUGUACAAUGAGGAAACUCAUAUCCGGCAUGGUCAUCCAUUUAUCCGGUGGUGCAUGACCAAUAUCGGAAUAAGUUAGAGCGCCUAAGACCUGUUUAUAUCGCCUAUCUACACAAAUCAUCUGUCGAUAGCACGCAUUUUCUUCAUCGAUAAACUCUUUGUGAAGUUGGUAACAGAUCAACUGGCGAGCAUCAACAUACAUGUCACGUAGGUCCGCAACGGCACAAACCCCACAAUGGCCAUCACAACUACAUCCACCUCCUUUUCAAUAAAUUCAUGCAUCCAAUGUGGGAUUUGUUCUUUGUGUGGUAUGUGGACUUUAACCAGAAUUGGCUUAGGAGGAUUAUAAGACAUGUUGCUUUUCCGUGCACUUUCUCUACUUGUCCCUGUUGAAUUUGUAUGUGAAGCACGUGUUUGUUGAUCCUGGGAGUCAACAAUCUCCUAGAGCAAAGGCGAUCAUUUUGUUGACUAAAUGAUAUGUUUAUUUUUCUUUGGAGCUCCUUUAGGGGGUGACUUUUUUUGGCGGUGGACGCAUAGAGGUCAUCUCCUGCAAAGAAAACUGUCGAAAUUGUUCUUUGAUGCGCACCUUCAUGUUGUAAUCAACGUCCUUGAUUCGGGCCUACAAUGCGUACAAAAAUCUGUCAGGUGGAAUGUUGUAGAAAUCUAAGAAAAUAUGCAUUAUGUUUUGUCCAGUGACUAUUCGGAUUAUAUAAUCUGAAACAUCUCAACCCCCCCCCCCCCCCCCCAGAUCAUGCAAACCAAGUACGUCUGCAUGGUGCUUAAAUGAAAAUUUUUCGGAUUAUAUAAUCCAAAAUUCAUUUAAUAGCUUUUCAUAUUAUAUAAUCUGAAUUCAACCAGUACAUAAAUAGAUCACCCUCUUACUCGAACUUCAACCUCAUCUAGUGAGUGUGGAUGUCAUCCAAACAAAUGGGGGUGUUGUUCUUGAUCUUCAUUGCAAUCGUACACGCACAUGGAAAUCUGUAAGCGAUGAAAAUUAAACAACCACACUUGGAUUUAUCCGUACUACAACCAACUACUCGAUCAACCUCGAUUGCGAGAUAAUGCAAAGCGUUCCUUGGUAUGUUUCGAAUCAACCUAGCCACAACAACUUUCCUUUGAACCUAUGUUCAAGCAUGAUCAUGCUCGUCUAGAAGGAAGCAUGUAUUUGAGUAUGUUGUGACUCUAGCAUGUUGUGAGUGGAGUUCCAUUUUGUACUUAAUUCACCCAUACUACUAUAGUAAGAUACUUUUUCAACGGUCUGUGUGCAUAUUCUGCUCUGUUUGUCGUAGUAUUUCCCAUAUGCUUGACUUUAGUGAACCAAAAAUUCACAAUCUAUUCCUUCACCGAACCCAAAAUUAUAUUUUCAACAUAUUUCAAAAACUUAGGAAAUUUGUGGCAUACAACUUUGAACCGGUUGCAAUUAUCAACAUAUGCUUGCUCUGUAUCAAAAUUCACGAUAUCCUCCCAUGCAACCAUAACCGUUUUCACCACCUCACUUAACUUGAUCUCUUUCCCAUCCUUGCCUUUUAAAUCCUUAACUUUGCAAUCCGUCUUACAUUUUGCUCUAACAUUUUUUUAAUGUGAUACUCACACAAGAGAGCAGUAGCUUCAAGGAAAACAAUAUACACAACAUUCAUCAAAGCAUGUUAAUAAUUAGAGACAGCUACAUUGGGUGAAAUAUCUUUGGAAUGCAACAGUUCACGACACCUGUCAUGAGACCAAGUAACAUUAUCUUCCUUCUCAUACAUCAUAUAACCAAAUCCAAUAGAGAACAUGUACUCGAUAUAAGUGUUACUAACAAACUCAAGUAACGGAAGACGAUACUUGUUGGUCUUAUAAAUCGAACCCAUCACAAGCACCGUAGGCAACAUGUUAAACAACUUGAUACCAUUUGGAUGUGCUUGGAAAAUAUCACUUACAUCAUCGGAAUCAUGAUACUUCCUACGUGAUACAUGUACUCCUUCUCAACCAAUUAUUUCAAAAGAUGUUGCAUGCCUGUUCUCGUACCCCUAAUAGACGUCCGACGAUUUUAUGACCUUUCAACACCUCUUCCAUGUCAUGGUUGUGUCUACCGUCACCAACUUGGAGGCUCCAAUCACCAACAAUUAACAAAUAACCUCUCAACCGAAACAAACACUCACAUUUAACUGAACCAGAUAUUUUGUGUCUCUUCAACUUCUUGUACUCCGUGUAUGAACCUCCUCUUUUACAUAUCACAAUAACAAAUGCAUUUAUCCCAUUUCCACCUCUAUCUGAUUUACCAAUAACGGUUGAAAAACCUAGCUUCCUCUCGAAGCCACUUCAAAAAAUCGUUAUGAAUAGCAAACUUUUGUUUGAUGGUAAAAUUUUCUUGAUGAUUAAUAGAAACAACAACAUCUUGAGGUACAACAAUCGAAGGAGCAUUCUCUGCUUUCACAUUGCCGGAAGGAAUGUCAACUUUCGGUGGAGGUACCUCGGGUUUGCCGUUUUCAGAAUCAUCUAUAACUUCAAGAUCAACAACCGACAGCACAUUAGGUGGUUCAAUAUUAGGUGGCUAUUCAUUGGACGCAUCAACAGAAACAUCCAUUACUGAAACAGUGCGAAAGCAUGGUCAGAAAAUGCAAGCACUUUAUGUACUGGUGUUAUUCUUUAUUUAUCACACUCUAAAUCUUUAAGAUAUACACAUCACUGACUUCUUUAAGGCACUUUAUAAUAUGUGUCAUCGCCAUUAAAGUUACAAUAUUAUUUUAAAUUGUUUUUGUCUCAUUUCAUUUUGAAUACAUCAGUAUGAGACGAAUAUAGACACAAAAACAAACAUCAGCAAGUCAAUACUAUUUAUUAUCUUUUGUAAAAAAAAAAAGAAAAAAAAUACUAUAUAUUAUCUAUUUAUCACACUUUAAAUGAGUAAACUACCAAUUUUGUCUUAAUCUUUAUAAUUUUGAAAAACGUUUGACAAUAUUUCUAAAUAGUCUAUGUCUUUGCCAAAAGUUUCUCCAUUAAACGCAUGUUUCUAUGUUUUUUUCGCAUGACGAGAGACUUAAUUGAGAAAACUUUUGACAAAGGCAUAGACUAUUUUAAAAUAUUAAUAGAGUCGGAGGAUAAUUUGAGAAUCACUUACAAAGACAUGACCGAUUUGAUUAUUUACUCCACUUCAAAUCCUUUAAUGUAGACACUACCAACUCUUUUAAGAGCAUCCAUAAUGGUAGUAACUAAUAGGGACUCCUUAAAUGAGCUUCACAUGUACAAAUUAUUUAUUUAUAAUUUUUUAAUAAAAGUAUCUAUUAAGGACUCAAUGACUCUAAAGACAAUACACUAAUAUGGAUUUCAAUAAAAAAUACUUAAAUAUGUCCGACUAACUUUACAUCAUUAUACAAAAGUAAUUUAUUUAUUACAUUAUCAAUUACCUCAUAAAAUAUUUCUUUUAAAAGUGGAACCAACUUAUAUAUAUUUUAUCAUUUUUUUAAACUUUGGACCAGUUAGUUUUUCAGAAGAGAGAAUCCUUAUAUAAUUGUAUGUUAUUUAAUAGAUACUUUUUUUUUUCCUUUAAUAGAAUGUCCUUGACAGAGAAUGAUCCUUAUUAAGCAAGGACCUCAUAUUAAUGAUGCUCUAAGACACUUUCUCUUGUAUGUCAACUUUUCAAAUCUAUCAACACAAAAGUUACAAUAUCAUAAUAUCAUAAAGUUAACAUUCAACAUCGCUCAAGAGAACACACAUUAAAAGAAAAUAUUUUUUAAUUUUUUUUCAACUCAUUUCAUUUUGGGUAUAGUAAUAGCGGUUGAAUAAAGACACUAGAGCCAGUCCAAUCACACUUUUUUAUUAUUUGAUUCUCACACUCCAAACAAAUAUCAACAUAUCAAUGUUAUUUUAUUAUAAGUUUAAUAAUGGUAGGUUGACGGUUUAAAACAAUUUUGCAUACACAUCGCAAUCAAAACAUUUCAAAUUGCAGCAAAACGGACAGAUCCAGGGAACUUCAGGUGGCUGCAUGUACAUAAAAGACAAACAAAUGAUAUGAUGUAACAGGUACGUUGCAUGACAAAUUUCUUCUCUAUGAUUGUAAUGCUACAAAUUCAAUUGAUAUUCCGACAGCAAAUUAUUUUCAUUAGGAAAUAUAUAUACAUUGGUUGUUUUCCGGACAGAUACAUGGAAUUUCAUCGAAUAGAUUAAAUUAUAGAUAGUGCAAAUAACAAAAGGAAAAAUAUUGCUCUAGUGACAUCAUUUUGGUUGGUUUUUCAAUAGGCUCCAGUGACAUCAUUUUAGCCACUUAUUUUUUUAGAAGCAAUCAUUUAAGCCUGUUUUAAAAAUAAAAAUAAAAACUUAUUUGUGGUUUAUAGCACAUGCGCUUAUCAUGAUAAGUGAUUAUCUAUAAGCUUACAUAAUCUGUUUCUAUGGCAAAAGAUAAAAUAAAAUUGUUUUCGUAUAUGCUAUAAGUUGUUUCCAUAAACUAUUUUGGAGAACUUACAAAAAAAAGCUUAUGAAAAAUGUCAUAAGCUAUUUUUAUAAGUUGUCCAAAACAGUAUCACAAAACUUAUGCCGGUAGAUAAGCUCAAGCCCUAAUGGGAUAACUUGUACAACUUUUCAUGAUUUGUUUCAAGAAGGAAAAUCAAACGGAACCGUAAAAACAGUUUGUAAAAACCAAGAGUUCAUGGUUUGUCAUGAACCAAACUUGUUUUAAGAUUCAGUGCACCAGGUUAUGCGCUUUUUGGACCAAUAUUGUUUUGAAUGGAGGCCAUGGUGCUGUCAUAGGCCGCAAUGGCGUGUUUAUUGGGGUUUUCUGCCAUAUUCCACACAACACUGUUUUGAAUAAAUAGGUUCUAUCUUUAUAGAACAGAGAUGUUACCUUUACGAACCGAACUGUAUCUUGACUAACCGAGAUGCCCCCAUAGGCUUGGUUUGUGUGUGUAGUACGCGGUAACAAUUUCCAGAUUUCAAUUUGAGUAUUAUGUUUUUCCAGAAUUGUGGGCAUACAGGAGUAAAGAGCAACAUCGGCAAAUUUAUUGGAUAGCCGUCAACUUAUUCUAGUCACUUAGUUGUUUGCUUCAUUAUGUGAAUACUUGUUCUCAAUUUAAAGCACUUAUGAAAGUUUAAAGUUUCUCUUUCAAAUCAUCAAAUACUGAGAGACUGAUUUAAUACAACUUUAUUGAAAGAACUAUAGGAAGAGUCUAUACAGAAAGAUGAUUUUUAUUUCUAUGAACAUAUAAUACAAGGAUAGAGUCUUUUAUUACAAUAUUAAUCAUGAAGACUCACUUAACUAUAAUACUCUAUUUCCGGUGACACUCUUCAAAGACCUCAUCAUGCAUGCUUUAUUUUCUUCACAUAAAUAUAGCAUAACAUGCAAGUUCAAGAUCACACGCAUUCAAUUCGCUUCUUAGCAACAAGACAGAGAGGAUUUUUCUUGUGUUGAAUAAGUCCGGCUUGACCAUGAGUGUCAAUGUCUUCCCUCUUAGCUCCUUCAGGCAUUUCCCAGUCAAAUGAACAGAGAAGAUUAGAAAGUACAAGGUCGAUGGUAGCAAUAGCCAUGUUUAAGCCGGGGCAAAUUCUUCGCCCAGAUCACCCUCUUACUCCAACCUCAACCUCAUCUAGUGAGUGUGGAUGUCAUCCAAACAAAUGGGGGUGUUGUCUUGAUCUUCAUUGCAAUCAUAAACGCACAUGGAAAUUUGUAAGCGAUGAAAAUUAAACAACGACACUUGGAUUUAUCCGUACUACAACCAACUACUCGAUCAACCUCGAUUGCAAGAUAAUGCAAAGCGUUCCUUGAUAUGUUUCGAAUCAACCUAGCCACAUCAACUUUCCUUUGAACCUAUGUUCAAGCAUGAUCAUGCUCGUCCGGAAGGAAGAAUGUAUUUGAGUAUGUUGUGACUCUAGCAUGUUGUGAAUGGAGUUCCAUUUUGUACUUAAUUCACCCAUACUACUAUAGUAAGAUACUUUUUUAACCGUCUGUGUGCAUAUUCUGCUCUGUUUGUUGUAGUAUUCCCCAUAUGUUUGACUUUAUUGAACCAAAACGUCACAACUUAUUCCUUCACCGAACCCAAAAUUUUAUUUUCAACAUAUUUCACAAACUUAGGAAAUUUGUGGCAUACAACUUUGAACCGGUUGCAAUUAUCAACAUAUGCUUGCUCUGUAUCAGAAUUCACGAUAUCCUCCCAUGCAACCAUAACCGUCUUCACCACCUCACUUGACUUGAUCUCUUUCCUAUCCUUGCCUUUUAAAUCCUUAACUUUGCAAUCUGUCUUACAUUUUGCUCUAACAUUUUUUUCAAUGUGAUGCUCACACAAGAGAGCAGUAGCUUCAAGGAAAACAAUAUACACAACAUUCAUCAAAGCAUUUUACUGAUUAGUGACAACUACUUUGGGUGAAAUAUCUUUGGAAUGCAACAGUUCACAACACCUGUCAUAAGACCAAGUAACAUUAUCUUCCUUCUCAUACAUCAUAUAACCAAAUCCACUAGAGAACAUGUACUCGGUAGAAGUGUUACCAACAAACUCAAGUAACGGAAGACGAUACUUGUUGGUCUUAUAAAUGGAACCCAUCACAAGCACCGUAGGCAACGUGUUAAACAACUUGAUACCAUGCAUUUAGGAAAAUAUCACUUACAUCAUCGGAAUCAUGAUAAUUCCUACGUGAUACAUGUACUCCUUCUCAACCAAUAAUUUCAAAAGAUGUUGCAUGUCUGUUCUCGUACCCCUAAUGGACUGCCUAUACCUGUGACAAGCAUUAUAAAUAUGCUUGAUAUUUGUUGAAGUUUUACUAUUCCUUUUCCUUAAGUUGGUAAGAAUUUUCCUCAGAUAAAUAUUUGAGUCCGUCAACUCAUGAAGGUAUAGGCUUUCAUUUGGGUUUAGACGUCCGACAAUUUUAUGACCUUUCAACACCUCUUCCAUGUCAUGGUUGUGUCUACCGUCACCAACUUGGAGGCUCCAAUCACCAACAAUCAACAAAUAACCUCUCAACCGAAACAAACACUCACAUUUAACCGAACCAGAUAUUUUGUGCCUCGUCAACUUCUUGUACUCCGUGUAUGGACCUCCUCUUUCACAUAUGACAAUAACACUCACAUUUAACCGAAUCAUCUAUAACUUCAAGGUCAACAACCGACAACACAUUAGGUGGUUCAAUAUUAGGUGGCAACUCAUUGGAGGCAUCAACAGAAACAUCCAUUACUGAAACAGUGCAAAAGCAUGGUCAGAAAAUGCAGUCACUUUAUGCACUGGUGUUGUUCUUGAAGUAGGGAUAGCUAUUCAGCUAUUGAAAUCUCAUGGUAUGUGUGUUAUGUAUAUCCGCUAAUAUAUAGACAACACCAACUAUUAGAAAAGAUUUAGAGAUUAAAGAGUUGAAUAAUUUGGUUUUGGAUAGAACAUUAUCCAUAAUUUAAUCUGUGUAGCUGACUAUACUUAAUGGGAUAGACCUGAUUAUUGUUGGUGUUGCUUUGAUUUUGGAUAGAACAUUAUCCAUAAUUUAAUCUAUGUAGCUGACUGUACUUAAUGAGAUAGACUUGAUUAUUGUUGUUGUUGCGUCAGUACUAUUUUAUUCCUUAUUUAUCACACUCUAAAUCAUUAAGAUAUACACACCACUGACUUCUUUAAGACACUUUAUAAUAUGUGUCAUCGCCAUUAAAGUUACAAUAUUAUUUUAAAUUGUUUUUGUCUCAUUCCAUUUUGAACACAUCAGUAUGGGAUGAAUAUAGACACAAAAGCAAACAUAAACAAGUCAAUAUUAUUUAUUAUCUUUUGUCAACAAAAAAAAAAAUACUAUUUAUUAUCUAUUUAUCACACUUUUUUUUGAAGAAACUAUCUAUUUAUCACACUUUAAAUGAGUAAACUACCAAUUUUGUCUUAAUCUUUAUAAUUUUUAAAUGAGUAAAUCAUCAAUUUUGUCUUGGUCUUUAUAAGUGAUUCACUAAUUAGUCUCUGACUCUACUAAUAUUUCAAAAUAGUCCUCGUCUUUGUCAAAAGUUUCUCAAUUAAGUUCCUCGUAUGUGAAAAAAAUAAUAGAAAUAUGAGUCUAAUUGAAAAACAUUUGACAAUAUUUCUAAAUAGUCUAUGUCUUUGUCAAAAGUUUCUCCAUUAAACCCAUAUUUCUAUGUUUUUUUCGCAUGACGAGAGACUUAAUUGAGAAAACUUUUGACAAAAGCAGAGACUAUUUUAAAAUAUUAGUAGAGUCGGGGGCUAAUUUGAGAAUCACUUACAAAGACAGGACCGAUUUGAUUAUUUACUCCACUUCAAAUCCUUUAAUGUAGACACCACCAACUCUUUUAAGAGCAUCCACAAUGGUAGUAACUAAUAGGGACUCCUUAAACGAGCUUCACAUGUACACAUUAUUUAUUUAUAAUUUUUUAAUAAAAGUAUCUAUUAAAGAUUCAAUGACUCUAAAGACAAUACACUAAUAUGGAUUACAAAUAAUGUAACAGGUACGUUGCAUGACAAAUUUCUUCUCCAUGAUUGUAAUGCUACAAAUUCAAUUGAUAUUCCGAAAGCAAGUUCUUUUCAUUAGGAAAUAUAUAUACAUUGGUUGUUUUCCGGACAGAUACAUGGAAUUUCAUCGAAUAGAUUAAAUUAUAGAUAGUGCAAAUAACAAAAGGAAAAAUAUUGCUCUAGUGACAUCAUUUUGGUUGGGUUUUCAAUAGGCUCCAGUGACAUCCAUUUUAUCCAUAAUUUUUUUUAGAAGACAUCAUUUAAGCCCUGUUUGAAUAAACCAUUUAUUCGCAGCUUAUAGCACAAGUGCUUAUCAUGAUAAAUGAUUAUCUAUAAGCUUACAUAAGCUGUUUCUAUGGCAAAAGAUAAAAUUAAAUUGUUUUGGUAUAUGCUAUAAGUUGUUUCCGUAAACUAUUUUGGAGAACUUGCAACUUUUCAUUGGCUGCAAUGGUGUGUUUAUUGGAGUUUUCUGCCAUAUUCCACCAUCCGUCAUCGACAACACUGUUUUGACUAAACAGGUUCUACAUUUAUAGAACAGAGAUGUUACCUUUGCAAACCGAACUGUUUUCUUGACUAACCAAGUUGCGAACCGAACUGUUUUGUGUGUAGUACAUGGUAACAAUUUCCAAAAUUCAAUUUGAGUAGUAUGUUUUUGCAGAAUUGCAGGCAUACAGGCGUAAAGAACAACAUCGGCGAAUUAUUGGAUAGCCGUCGACUUAUUCUAGUCACUUAGUUGUUUGCUUCAUAAUGUGAAUAUUUGUUCUCAAUUUAAAGCACUUAUGAAAGUUUACAGUUUCUCUUUCAAAUCAUCAAAUACUGAGAAGCUGAUUUAAUACAACUUUAUUGAAAGAAGGAAAAUGUAUAGAGAUACAAGAAAGAAAAACAACUGCUGAAAUCAAAGGGAACUACUUUGAAAAAUAACAUUCAAAAUCAACACAUCAUUUGUAGAACAUGGUCAUCGACUGAGUGAAAAACUAUUUAUAGGAUAAAACCUUAAUGUUCUUCACCAUUUCUCGACUCUCAGACUUCUUACAACAUGACAUAUCAGAUCAAAAUCAUCCUAUUUACCACUCCCCUGAACUACAAAGGAAUAGUUAAUACAGCAAGAUGAAUUUUAUUUCUUUGAACAUAUAAUACCACAUUAGAGUCUUUUAUUAUAAUAUUGAAUAUGAAGACUCACUUAACUAUAACAUGCAAUUUCAAGAUCACACGCAUUCAAUUCGCUUCUUAGCAACAAGACAGAGAGGAUUUUUCUUGUGUUGAAUAAGUCCGGCUUGACCAUGAGUGUCAAUGUCUUCCCUCUUAGCUCCUUCAGGCAUUUCCCAAUCAAAUGAAUAGAGAAGAUUAGAAAGUACAAGGUCGAUGGUAGCAAUAGCCAUGUUUAAGCCGGGGCAAAUUCUUCGCCCAGAACCAAACGGAAUCAGCUCAAAAUCUUGUCCUUUUAAAUCUAUAUCACUUCCUAUGAAUCUCUCUGGAUAAAACUCUUCUGGAUCCUUCCAUACUUCUGGGUCUCUAUGGAUCGCCAAUGCAUUCACGUACACCAAUGUCUUGUCUGGAAUGUCGUACCCUGCAAUGUUGCAAUUUGUCAUUGUUUCUCUUG
RNAcentral lists this long non-coding RNA (13967 nucleotides) under Medicago truncatula (barrel medic). RNAcentral describes it as "long non-coding RNA (MTRU_LNC003472)". The record is from RNAcentral. Lineage: Eukaryota; Viridiplantae; Streptophyta; Magnoliopsida; Fabales; Fabaceae.